ACGAUACGAAGAAGGCUCGUAUAAUAAAUAGAUCGAUACCAUCGGAGAGAUUGAUUGAUUGAUUCGUGAAAAAUGUCGGAGGAAGAGAAGCUAUUGAAGGACGCGAAGAAGCUCCCAUGGGAGGAUCGCCUCGCUCACAAGAACUGGAAAGUUAGGAACGAGGCCAACGUCGACCUAGCUUCCGUCUGCGAUUCCAUCACCGAUCCUAAGGACCCUCGCCUCCGCGAAUUCGGUGAGUUUUUUCAGCUGUUAGGGUUUUCAAUUUUCGCGGCUCCAGAUCUGAUUCGAUCUCGCUGCGGAUCUGCUUUUGGAUUUUGGACUUAUCCUUGUUGUGUGUUUGCAGGUCACUUGUUUAGAAAGACGGUGGCGGAUUCCAAUGCGCCGGUGCAAGAGAAGGCGCUCGAUGCAUUGAUUGCGUUUUUGAAGGCAGCUGACUCAGACGCUAGCAGGUACGGUGGUGAUGAGUUUUGAUGCUCUUGUGGAGCGAGUGAUUGUGUUUGCAUGUGAAUUUAGCUUGUUUCUGCUUUUGGAAGGUAUGGAAAGGAAGUCUGCGAUGCCAUUGCGGCCAAGUGUCUCACGGGUAGGCCCAAGACUGUGCAGAAGGCGCAGGAGGCUUUCUUGCUUUGGGUAGAAUUAGAAGCUGUUGAUGCUUUUCUGGUAUGCCUCGUUAUUCUUCGUUCUUGCGACUCUGUAAGGUCCAUGUGGAUUGGUGACAUAGAAAUGAAGUGCUUUGUAAUCCAGAGUGUGGCCAUAUACGGAGUGAUGUAGAAUGUAGCAUGUGGCUCUGUUGCCCAGUUCUGUGUCAUGCUAGGUGUCUAGCGUAAGAAGAAAUAUGGAUACCUUCUUCGCUGCUGUUUUGAAGAUGUCUACGCUAGUGUUUCGUUCUAUAUCAUUUCCUCAGCAUUUUUAAAUUUACUGCCCAAGUAUUAAGACCCCAGAACUCCAAAUAUAACGUCUAAUGAAGAUAUUUAUUUGUAGUUGUGUCGUUUCUAGGAGAAAAUCGUCCGUGUACAAUUUAACAGAUUUGUCAUGAUUGUAGGAUACAUUGGAGAAAGCUAUAAAGAAUAAAGUUGCAAAGGCUGUGGUACCUGCAGUAGACGUUAUGUUUCAAGCUCUCAGGUCUGUUCUGAAGUCUUAGUUAGUUUUCUCCAUUGAUUCUUUAAAUCUCUUAUCUGAAAUAACGACACUAGUUUUUUUUUUGUCUUAGUGAUUUUGGAUCAAAGAUUAUUCCACCCAAAAGGAUUCUAAAGAUGCUUCCGGAACUUUUCGACCAUCAAGAUCAGAACGUCCGUGCAUCUGCCAAAGGGGUGACUCUGGAGCUAUGCCGUUGGAUUGGAAAAGACCCUGUAAAAUCUAUUUUGUUUGAGAAAAUGAGAGAUACAAUGGUAAGAUUUAUGUUGAUCCAUACGUUUGCAGCUUAGCCAUGCCACCAAGAUGAUAUCAACUGGGUUUCUAGUAUAACAGAUAGCAUAUUAGAUUGCUGAUCAGAACCACUACCUUGGCUGAAUUAUCAUGAUUUAAAAUUUCACUUGAUAUUGUCUUCUUUGAUUAUGCACCAAAAGCUGUCGAAUUAGUUCCUUUAUUUUCUUGUGCUCUUUCGCAGACGCUAAUAUUCGAUUUUAUUGUUGUUAUGUAAGAAAAAAGAGCUGGAGGCUGAGCUUGCCAAUGUUUCAGUGGGUGCCAAGCCUGCUCGAAAGAUAAGGUAACUACCACAAACUAUAAGAAUUGUUUCUAUUGAUCUUAGCCUAACUGCCACAUACCAGAUUUAGCUUCAUAAUUGUGAAUAUUUUCUUUUUACUAUGUCAAGUUUUUGAAUAAUUGAAUUUAUAUGCAUGCGUAUUUCAAAAGUUAAAAACACUACUAGCAUGAUUUUGAAAAUCUGCAACUAGAUUAUUUAUGUAUAUGGCUUUCAAGGUCUGAGCAAGACAAAGAGCCAGAGGCAGAAGCUAGUUCUGAUGUGGUGGGUGAUAGGCCCAGUGAAGAACCUGUUGCUGAUGGUACGUAGCUUGUAGUUCAAUAAAUUGUUUCUUCAUUAAGUAAUGUUGAGAAAGCUGCUUACUUUGAUUCUUCUUUAUCAACGCAUUACUAUCAGCGCCUCAGGAAAUAGAUGAGUAUGAUCAGGUAUUGAGUCAUAUAAAUUAUUGUUGUGAAGCAUUCUGCGAUACCAAGGGAAUGCAGAAACGUUAUGCAGGAGUAGAUACUCUAAUAAACAAUAAAAAAAUUCAAUAAGGUUAGCACAUACAAAAGCCUCAACUGAUCCAGCUUUCCAAGCUCAGGGGGUAACGGUCCGCUUAAUUUGUGAUGAGUAAGACUCCUGUGCACAAGAAACUUUAAGAACCAAUAAAGGAUGCAGCACAUAUUGAGGAUAAACCAAACAAGUUUCAAGCUUACAAGGCUGUAACUCUUUUUGUUCUCGCAUCACAAGUCACUCCCUUCCAGUUACACGGAUCAGGAUCCUCUGACCUCCACUGACGUAUGGCACCAUCAGAACUAGAUAUUCCACUUCUAAAGCUUAGAAGCGCCUCACCUAAAGAACAAAAAGGAGUGAAACUCUACAGCGGAAUGGGCGGUGAUCAUAGUUCCGUCAAACACAAGAAGAGAUUUAAGUAAACAUGUCACUAUACCAUCAGGACUAAUCGCUUCAAUUUCAUUCGUCAGUGCACAAAGCAGUGAGAUCAUAAGAAGCCAUGACCAGCAGCGCUUCACCAGCAGAAGCAUAAUAUAAUUACUGUCAAUCAUCUGAAAGAACAGACUCCAGAAUGUUUCCCUCCUGACAUAUACUCAGCUGCUUGGUAACGCCUUGUCUUAUCUUCAACAAACAAAAAAGAAGCUCCUGAAGAUAAAGAAACACCUACAUUAGAUUGUAAAACAAGAACAGCAAACCCCCCUCAGAUGAAACUCAAUCAAGAUUCAAGACAAACAAUUUGUCCCAAACUACACUGAACUAUAUGCUGACAUCCUCUCUUACCCAUACAACAAUCAUCUACCAACGUGCACCUAAAGAUCACCAAAAUCACCCACCGAAUCAGCUUUCUUACAAUAACACUCACAUACAUAAACCAAAAACCAAACUACAAAAUCCUCUAUUACAUAACAACCUUCCGACAACAUCUAUCAUUCAUUAGAUUUUGUAUAACAAGAACAGCAAACCCUCCUCCUCAGUGAAACUCAAUCAAGUCAAACCACACUGAACUAUAUUUCUGAAAUGCUCUAUCACACAACAAGCUUCCCUCAACAUCAAAAACACAAACUUCGCAUGCUCAUCUACAUUCACACAACCCAGAACAGUAAUGUUACCCAAAACGGAUCAAACCCACCUCACAAUUUCCAAAAGUAGAAAGCGAAACUGAACUAUAUGCUGACAAUCUCUAUUACACAACAAGCUUCCCACAAAAUCAAAACACAACCUUUUCAUUCUCUCUCAUCUACAUAAACAAAACCCAAAACAGUAAGGUUUCCCAAAACGGAUCAAACCCACCUCACAUUCACAAUUUCCAAAAUUAGAAACCGAAAUUGAAAUUCACUCCCGAUAAAGCCCAGCUCCCUCCAGCAAUCAUUGCAGUCUCACCACAAAUAGAACUGAAGAGUCAACCCGUACAGUAAUCUCGAAACGAACUCGAAGUCGAUUCGUUGAUAAAUCAAAACCCAAUUCGCACUUCACCCCCAAAUCGGAAACGUCGAAUUGGAUCCGCGAGGAGGGAGAUGAUGAAGGAGAAUAGGACAGAGGAAGAAGACGAUAUUUUGAGCUGUAAAUGGUGUGGUUGAUGAGAGAGAGUGAGGAGAGAGAAAGUGAGAGUGUUCAGUAAACCAAAAAUGUUUGGAGAGGGAAUCGGCGAUUUACAACCAAUGAGAGAGGCGAAGUGAUCAUCACACGUGCCGACUAGGACUUCCCGCACGUGUCGACCGACGAUUUAUUUCGCUGAAUCAAAAACCCAGGGAUUAUUUACAGACUGGCUACAGCUUGCUGGGUCCGGUAUGUAUCCCAAUGGGCCUGAGAAACCCAUCAUUAAAGAUUAACCGGUUUGAGUUGCAACCAGCAACCCGGUUCAGCUCAAAUUUUGAAUUUGAUUUUUUUUUUCAAUCUUCUAAUAAUAAUAAUGAUUUUAACAAGGAUUUUUCUACAUUUUAAUUAUUUUUAAAAGUAUUAAAGAAUGACAUUUUCUGAAACAAUAUAAAAUUAGUAAUUUACUGAGACAUAAUUAUGGUUCAAUUUUUAAAUCUACUAACUUAUAAAUUCAAAAAGUGAUUUUCUUAAAUUUAUUUUAAAAUCAGGGAACUAAUACAUAUAUUUUUUAUAAAAAUUCAAAAUUACCUAAAAUUUAUAAAAUAAUAAAUCCAUAAAUCCUCUUUGAGCUUGUGUUAAUUUGAAAUUUAAUUUUCUAAACUUGUGUAUUUACAAAUAAAAACUGGAAAAGCUAGGAUAUUUAAUCUUAAUAAAAUUAUAUAUACUAUGAUUUUAUGAAUUUUCCUCAAAUAUAUUAAUACCACAUCAAAUAGUUCAUACAUUUCUUAAUCACCUUCUUCUUCUUAUUAUUUUUUUGGUGAUGACACACUGUCAUCAACGUGUAACACAAAAUCACAAUUAUCAUUUUCAAUAAUUCAUAUAUAAAUAUAAAAAUUCACAUGAAUAUGUAACGAGAUUUUCAUUUUUAAUGCUACAAACUAAAUUGUUAUUUCAACAUACUUUAUAAAAAAUAGUAUAAUUUAUAAAUUUGGUCAUAUUCAUAUAUUUUACAUAUAUAUAUUAAGUUAUAUUUUUUUUAUGAUGACUAGUCGUUUAUAUACAUGUAUAUAAUAUCUGUAAGACAUAAGUAUGUUUAAAAUGAAUAAAAAGUCAUUUAUCAUUUUAUAAGUUAGAUAUAUAUACAUAAAUUGAAAAGAAUAUAAAAAACGUCUUUUGGGCUGGGCUAGAACUGUCGAAUGGGCCGUCCAGAGCCCAUUUGGGCAUGACCAUAUGGACCAUUUCAGUUAUGGGCAAUAUUGGGUGGUCCAUAUUGGACAAUGGUCCAAAAAAUGCCCAAGACCAAUAAAAACCAUGUCCAAAUGGUCUAGCCCAUGGACACCCAUUAAUAUGUAUUUGUAUUUAAGUUAUAUGUUUCACAUUCAUAUUAUUCAUAAUAAUUUUUAUAUUUAUAUAAAUUUCACAAAAUCCAUAAUUUAUUUAUUUGUACUUAUAUAAAUUUCACAAAAUCCAUAAUUUAUUUAUUUGUGUUUAAUUAAAUUUUAUAAAAUUUGUAAAUAUCAUUUUUUGUAAAACAAGUAAUGUUUCAAAUUUAUUUGUGCCACUCUUGCUCAGAUGGAAAGCUCUUGUAGCUCUUAUCAACUUCUCCAAGGUUUCUCAAGGCAUUCUUAAACUCAAUAGCCCUUGAUAGCAUCAUGUGUGUUGAAUUCCAGCGUGUUGUCACAUCAAAAAUCAGACCCGCCUUAGCCGCUUCAGCUCGGACUCCAACUGUUUCGACACAGUUCUGAAACAUAAUCUCUCUAGACUGAGAUGCUUUCACAUACUUAACGCUCUCCCUGAUCUUAUCUAAAGCUCCACUGAUAACAGCCAAACCAUCUUGCACAAUUAAAUUUAAGAUGUGAGCUGAGCACCUCACAUGAAAGAAAUCACCAUCGCACACCAAAUUCCUUUGCAGCUUCCUCUUCAAAAUAGCCUGCAUAGUAUCAUUAGCCGAUGCGUUGUCUACUGUUAGAGAAAAAACCCUUUUCUCUAACCCCCACUCCUUUAACAACUCCGUCAGCUUCAAGGCUAUAGCAACACCAGAGUGUGGAGGCGGAAAAGCACAAAACGAUAAAAUCCUUGUCUUCAAUACCCAAUCAUCAUCUACGAAGUGGACUGUCAAGCACAUGUAGCCUUCUAUCGUUAUGGCUCUCCACAAAUCUGUUGUUAGGCAAACUCUUCCAGGGAUGUUAGCCAAGACUGCCUUCAGCUUCCUUUUCUCCUUCUCAUAGAUCUUGUACACAUCAGACGCAGCUGUGUUGCGAGACCAAAACUCUAUAGUCGGAUUCGCAUAGGUGAAAGCUUCUCUGACCUUCUCAUACUCGACAAAAGAGUAAGGAAGAUUGUGCUGAAUGAUAGCCACAGCAAUCAUCUCGCGGAACACUUCCAUAUCCAGCUUUUUAGGAGCACUUCUAGGAGUACUUCCGGGAGUUUUUGAGCAAGUCCUCAUAUGGCGAUUCAUGGUAUUAGUUCCAUUUUGACGCAGAUUCAAGCAAUAACUCUUUUGACAGUAAUUACAUCUAACAUCAGUUCUACCAUCAGAAUAUUUUUCCCCUACUGUGAAGUUAUUCCAGCACUUAGCACGACGUCUACUUGAACUACCACUACUGGUACCUUUUUCUGAAGAAGCAGUUUCUUGAGGCAUUGGAUCAUCCUCAUGGACCUCGUCAUCAUCUUCAUGUUCCAUGUCUUCAUAAUUUUUUUAAUGGUUUGGGCCGCCCAGAGCCCAUUCGGGCAGGACCAAAUUGUCCACGGGUGAAAACGGUUUUACGCCCAAUUGGACCAUUUGUUAUUUGGUCAAGCCCAUGAACCGCCCAUCACAGUUUGGACUGGUCAAGCCCAUGGACGGCCCGACCAUUUGACAGCUCUAGGCUGGGCCAAGCCCGAUUGACAAUCCAAGGUUUAACCUAGUAUAGUUUGAAAAUGUCGAUCUUUCCACGGAGAAACAAAACGCUCGUUAAGAGUAAGACGAUUUCAAAUAAUCGCGCGUCGAAUCACAUCUAGCAGCAAUGCGCGUGAAGUGUUACAGAAAAUAAUCACACCACCGAUUUAAACGUAGAAACCAAAAUUCCUCCACUCUCUCUCUCUCGCUGAUUAGGCUCCAUUCUUUUCUCUCUCUCCUCGUUUGUCCUUUCUCUCUCUUGCCGGCCUUAAAAAAAAUUUGAAAAGAGAGAGAGAGAGAAAAAGCUGAAGGAGACGAUACGAAGAAGGCUCGUAUAAUAAAUAGAUCGAUACCAUCGGAGAGAUUGAUUGAUUCGUGAAAAAUGUCGGAGGAAGAGAAGCUGUUGAAGGACGCGAAGAAGCUCCCAUGGGAGGAUCGCCUCGCUCACAAGAACUGGAAAGUUAGGAACGAGGCCAACGUCGACCUAGCUUCCGUCUGCGAUUCCAUCACCGAUCCUAAGGACCCUCGCCUCCGCGAAUU
This 7142-nucleotide long non-coding RNA is filed under the name Brassica napus (rape). Its description in RNAcentral is "long non-coding RNA (BNAP_LNC002246)". The record is from RNAcentral. Lineage: Eukaryota; Viridiplantae; Streptophyta; Magnoliopsida; Brassicales; Brassicaceae.